GUUGAAACAUGAACAAUAUAUAUAUAUAUAUAUAUAUAUAUUAGAGAUGUUCAAGAGAUGGGGAAGUUUCACAUGUAGAGGAAUCCUUCAUGUUUUGACCCUAAUAUAAGGAGUGUCUCUAUGCAAAUGUCCUCCCCUGUUAUAUAUUUAAGCAAUGAAAACCAAGAUCUUUUACUUAUUCUGCUUCAACACACACCAUGAGUUCUACAUCCCUACUGCUGCUGCUGCUGGCAGCCAUACACUGUAAGUGUUUUUACAUUUUACAUUUAAUACGGCUUUUGGGCACAUUUUUCUUUUACGGCAUUUAAAUGAUCUUUUCUUUAACAGAUGUUCACUGUGUUGAGCUGAUCCAGCCCGGAUCCACAGUAUUAACCCCUGGACAGUCAGUGACUCUGACCUGUAAAGUGUCUGGAUAUUCAUUAUUCAUUAUUACUGAUAGCAGCUGCUGUACACAGUGGAUACAACAACCUGCAGGAAAAGCUCUGGAGUGGGUCGGAUGGAUAUGUAGUAGUGGUGGCACUGGCUACAGUGAGAAACUGAAAAGCAGGUUUCAGAUUUCCAGAGACUUGUCCAGCAGCACAGUAACACUAACAGGACAGAACAUGCAGACUGAAAACACAGCUGUGUAUUACUGCGCUCGUUACCCAAAGUGAGACAGAACAACAACAUCCCUGUACAAAAACACCUCAUACAAAGUCCUAUUAGUCCACAAGUGCAACAGUUAACUAUCAAAGUCUAACCAUAAAAUAUAAUCAGACAAAUCACAGCAAAGAGUUUAAAGUUAUUUUUAAAUGUUUAUAAUGUAGAUUUUAAAACAUAUUUCUAACAUAGUAAUGUUACAUCUCUAACAUUUCUGUGCAUUAUACAAACUAUUAUAAUCACAUCACUUACAAGAACUUGUUAUACUGUAGUAUUUUUACCUAACAAUAAUCACCUCAACAAAUUAGAAUUUGUGUGAUCAUGUGUGAGAAAGUGUGAGAAUAUUUUGUCAUGAUUUUUAAGAGAGGUAUAAUUUUUCAGUGAUUACGAGCCCAAUAUCCACAAGCAUGGAUAACAGUGAUCAUGCUAUAUUUCAAUCACUUCGAUAUUUUAUUUACAAUUAUAGUAUUUGAUAAAAAAGGCAUAUGUUCCAAUACAAAUCCACAUAUCCUCCAUAAGAUAAAUCUCUUCAUCAUGAUUUAAAUAUCUUUAAAUAUUCCUCCCAUCAUCAUCAGAUAUGCAAAUUCAAGCGUCAGGGUUGGAUAUCACUCUAUUUAUAUGAUGUGAUGGACUCUGAUAAACUUUGGAGAACAGAGAAGUUCCCAGUACAAACAACACACAUCAUGUUCUCUACAUCUCUACUGCUCCUGCUGGCAGCUGCUUCCUAUGUGCAUGGUGAGGAACUGACUCAGCCUGCUUCCAUGACAGUCCAACCAGGCCAGAGUCUCUCCAUCAACUGCAAGGUUUCGUAUUCAGUUACCAGCGACCAUACAGCUUGGAUCCGACAACCUGCAGGAAAAGCUAUGCAGUGGAUUGGAUACAUUCACAGCAGUGGGAGUACAUAUUACAAUGACAAACUGAAAAAUAAGUUCAGCAUCUCCAGAGACACUGCUACUAACACAAUAACAAUUGGAGGACAGAAUCUGCAAACUGAAGACACAGCUGUGUAUUACUGUGCAAGUGGCACAGUGACACAGAAUAGUGGAUUCCCCUUACAAAAACUUUGAGACAUGUUAGAGACAUCAUCUCAAUGUUACUAAUAAACCAUCUCAGUCAAACUUUUACUUUCUUCCACUGGAAUUAAGUUGUAAUUGCUUGACAUUUUUAAACACACAGUAGACAUUUUUAAAAUAAAACAUACAUUCUUCAAAGACUGUUGAUUUGAACCAUUAUUAAUCUCUACAUUGUAUGGAAUAUUUAAUAAACAACUGGAAUAAAUGUUUAAUCAGUGAACUAGAAUGUCAGGAAUAAUACAAUUUAUACAUUUUUAAAUCAAAUAAACAUUCUGCAAAAAGA
Molecule: non-coding RNA, 1995 nt
Organism: Ictalurus punctatus (channel catfish)
Lineage: Eukaryota; Metazoa; Chordata; Actinopteri; Siluriformes; Ictaluridae
Source: the annotation of a RefSeq genome assembly